RNAcentral lists this long non-coding RNA (1986 nucleotides) under Homo sapiens (human). Its description in RNAcentral is "HSALNT0065967". Lineage: Eukaryota; Metazoa; Chordata; Mammalia; Primates; Hominidae. The record is from RNAcentral.
CAACUCCCUUCUCUAUUGUGUUUUCCACAUUUACAUACCACUUUGGGGCAGAAAUUGGCCCAGUGGCCAAAUCUGGCCCACUUUCUUUUUGUAUGGUCUAAAGCUAAGAAUGUUUUUGUAUUUUAAAUAGUCAAAAAAAGAUCAAAAGAAGAAAAAUGUUUCAUGAAGUGUAAAAAUUACCUAAAAUUUAAAUUUUGGCAUCUACAAAUAAAGUUUUAUUGGAACGUAGCCACACUCAUUUGUGAAGCAGGUUCACUGUGCACUGGUUACCAACUUGUCUGAGUCUGGUAAGGCAGAAGAUCCUUAAACAUAACAAAUUACAUGAAACAAAUUUAUUAUUUACAGAUAAACAGCAAGGGAUAACAGAAGUGUAGGAUUGAUUGUGAGCUUCUCCCCCCAAACUCAGAAAAACUGCCAGGUAAAUGAGGUCUCAUCUGCAUGUGCCCCACUUGCAUUGCUACUGAGGGACCCUGAAAAGCAGACAACCCUGGGUGUUACACCCUCCCCAGGGUAUGAAAGGACACACUAGGCAAAUGUGUUGAAGAACAUCCCGUUUCCAGGUGGAAACUGGAACUGAGCCAGCCUGUUCCAGCCAGUCUCUCCUUGUCUCAGGAUGUUGCAUUCUCAGCAUAUUUUACAGUUAUUCCAGGGAACAACAGUGAGAAGGGGAGAGAGCUGGGUUGGUUCAAGGCCACCUGGAGAACUGUCCUGCACCAUGUGUCGUAUAUUGUUUAUGGCUGCUUUGACACUACAACAGCAGUGUUGAGUAGUUGCAGUAGGGACUGUUUAACCCACAAAGCCUACAUUGCUUACAUCUGGACCUUUGCAGGAAAAGUUUGCUGACCUGUACUUUAAUAUAUAAAAACCCAUUCACAUUUGCACAUUCAUUUGGUGGUCACCACAGGCCUAUGGUAACAUCUCCGUUUUCAGAAGCUCAGAAAAGUAAGCUGCUUGCUCAAGAAUGGACGGCUUCAAGGUGGCAGAGCUGGAAGUUUCUAACUCACUCACCUCAUACUCAGACCUGCACUGUUUUUCAAGACAGUCAAUAUUUCAGGCCAUCUACUGAUUGGAUGAGGCCCACCAGCAUUCUGAAAGACAAGGAAUCUGAGACCUGGCUGGGAGAAGAGGACUUGCCUAAAGUUAUCCCACACAGCAAAUUAGUUGGAAAACCAGGAUAGUUGAGUAAAUAUCCUGGAGCCCAGCCAAGUAAUGAAGCCAGAAUUCAGAAAGCUGUUUUGGCUAGAUCUUGGAUUUUUACAAUAAAGGGUCUGUAAGGGAUAUUUGUGAAAAAUGUUGACACUUGACGGCUGUCCUGAUUCAUUCAGCUACCUAGGUUAUCUCUGCCUCUCUUUGACUUGUGUUUUGUCUUUUAAGAUGGCAGUCUUGCUCUUUUGCCUGGGCUGGUCUUGAACUCCUGGGCUCAAGCAGUUUUCCUGCUUUAGCCUCCUGAGUAGCUGGGGCUACAGGAGGACAUCACUGUGCCCAGCUCUCUCCGUAUCUUUGACUAGGUUAUUUUACAACCCCAUACGAUAGAAAUGAAGUUAUAGAAAACUGAUAGGAAUACAAAUAAUUAUUAUCCAUGGAAAUGCAAAUUGGAUCUAAUGGAAUGAAACUGAUUUUUUUUCCAGCAGAUAGUGACCACCUUUGUAUCCUUUUGUAAAUUCAUUUCAGCAUUCCAUAUUUGACUAAAAAUGUGUGACACUCCCAAUUUGCUUUUGAAUUCAUUGUAAUAUCUACCAAUUCCCUCAUUAAUUAAUGAGUUAAAUAAAGCCUUUGGCAUGUAUUUAUUUUGUAUCUAUAGGAGAGUCAUGAGUAUAUCUUCUUUUAAAAGGUAUUCUUCAGUAGGUCUUAGGGUGCACAAUACUUACAUCUUAUUUUCUCAUUCUACACUGUUCCCACACCUCACCCAGAAUAAAUGUAAUCUCCUGUGAGCUUCUGAACAUCAUGAAGAAUAACAGCUCAUUUUGUAAAGUCAUUUAGUAUUCG